CCUGAUUUUGAUUCAGAAGAUCUAGAUUUGAGCCCAGCUCUACCUCUUACUAGUUUUGUGUCUGUGGGCAAGACACCUAGAUUCCCUGGACUAGAGUUUCGGCAUUUAUAAAAUUGGGAUAAUGAUGCCUUACUAUACGCAUUAUCCUGCUGUGUGAGGGUUGAAGGAUAUAUGUAUUUUGUAAACUAUAACAAAGGGGUUAGUUAUCCAUGACUAAUCUAUAAACAUAGAUUCUAUUACUAUAGACCAUAAAAAAGGGGUCACUAAGCCAUUGUCUAGCAGGAAUAAUAAUUAAUAUGGGGAAUUUUCUUUUAGUUUCUGUGUAUUUGUAUGGAGAAGGUUGUACUUGUAAGCCCAAGAAAAACUUUUAGUCCCUAUGUCAAGACCUGAUCAAAUUAAUAAUGUACCAUAACUGCCCAGGUACCUAGGAUGGUAUUCUCAAAUUAUCUGAAAAUAAUCUGCAACCAAAGGAAAUGAGCUGAAAUGGUUCUCUUGCUCAAAUCAACCAGGACUCCAUUUCACUCCUACAAGUUCACCAGCAGCUCAAACCUUCAUGGACGUCCUUUACACCAGCUUCUGCCUGUUCACUGGUGGCGUUGGAACCUGGCUGAAUCGUCAAAAGGGGACGCCUUGAGAGUUUCAAGCAGAACCUCAAUGAAGUUCUGCUACCUGCAGUCCUAAGCCUGUGAAUCUGGUAGCCAUGGGAGUGUGCCACUCAGAUCUCUCUUCAAGAGAACCUGCUGCACAGAGUGCAGUUAUUGCCCUCAGCCUUCUGCUGCACCUUUGGGAUCCACUGCAAUGUUCACACCAAGGCCACACCAUCCCUGGUUGCUCCAGCCAGUGACUGAACCUGGCAGGAAACUAUAGCUACGCCAUUCAUGCCCCAUUCGGGACUCCUCCGGUAGGUAGUCUUUGUUCUAGGCACGCCCCCCCCCCCCCCAACCUGGUCA
This 950-nucleotide long non-coding RNA is filed under the name Dasypus novemcinctus (nine-banded armadillo). Its description in RNAcentral is "lncRNA (ENSDNOG00000050875.1)". Lineage: Eukaryota; Metazoa; Chordata; Mammalia; Cingulata; Dasypodidae. The record is from RNAcentral.